The sequence is an unclassified non-coding RNA, 153 nucleotides long. The stretch from base 1 to 46 matches the Rfam family "Eukaryotic small subunit ribosomal RNA", at positions 1786 to 1831 of the family's 1831-position model.
AAGUCGUAACAAGGUUUCCGUAGGUGAACCUGCGGAAGGAUCAUUGACGAGGUUAGGGGAGGAGAGAGAAGAGCAGGCAUAUUAAGCCUGAGAGAGAAAACAAGGCGUGGACACUGAAUAUUACAACUUUUAACAAUGGAUCUCUAGGCUCUU